UCUCUUCCUGGGGUCCAAACAUAUUAAAGUACUUACAUUACAUAUAAAACAAAAUAUAAAACAGUACAUCAAAUAACAUUAUUACACUACUACAUCUCUACAAUACAACAUGUUUAAUACCACCAUACAGCAAUAUCACAAUGUAUGCGUAUGCAUGUGUCUGUACCUUUGUGUGUCUCUUCACAGUCCCCGUUGUUCCAUAAGGUGUAAUUCUCCAUCCAGAUUGUCAGACCCUGGUGGCUUGUCACUGUUGAUAGACAACAAUAAUUCUUUUACCUCUUCCAAACUGACUUUACAGAAUGCAAAAGCACUAUUCUUGUCUUUCAUAAUUUGGUCAGAUAUACUUGGAUGUGUAGUAUCAGUGUUUGCUGCUGGCAUGUCACACCUAAGUUUUCUUAUCUUGCCAAUGAAAAAGUCAUUAAAGUAGAUGGCAAUAUCAGCUGGUUUUGAGAUGAAUGAGCCAUCUGAUUGAUUCAAUGAAUGAUGGAGCUGAGUUUGCCUUUUUUCCCAAUAUUUCAUUUAAGGUGCUCCAAAGCUUUUUACUGUGAUUCUUUAUAUCAUUUAUUUUUGUUUCAUAGUGUAGUUUUAUUUUGUUUAGUCGUGAUUUCUUCAUUUGCAAAACGUUUGCUAAUCAGUUGGGCUGCCAGACCUUUUGCCUCAUCCCUCUCACCCAUACCAUUUUUAAAUUCCUCAGCAUCCACAGGGAUUUAACAGUUUUUACAGUCAUUUUCUUAAUGGGUGCAUGCUAAUUAGUAACUGGAAUAAGCAAUUUCAUAAAUGUGUCAAGUGCAGUGUCUGGUUGCUCCUCAUUACACAUCAAAGACCAGCAAAUAUUAUUUACCUCAUCAACAUAUGACUCACAACAAAACUUCUUGUAUGACGUCUUAUACACUAUUUUAGGCUCAUCCUUUGGAACUUUUCUAAAAUGGAUUAAAUGAAAGUGUAAUGAUCACUUUAAUUGUACUGUAUUUUAAACUCUCUGGUCAGUUCUGUUUGUUUUAGACCAUAGCUGUCAACACUUGACAGUUUUAACUUUUCUAUCUUAUAAAACUGUUAGAGGGUUAUGAGAACAGAGUGACUACCAUACUGUCUCACACACAUCUGUGUGGGUUAAAGACCGUUUCUAUCCAUAGGCAUUGUGGGUACUGAAUAGUGGACUGAAUGGCUGACACACAUAGGCCUGCUGUUUAUUUUAUACUUAAAUACAGUCUGUAUGUAAAUAUGUUUUGUAGUUGGUUAAUGAUGAAACAUGAUAUAUCCACACUAGACUUUUGUGUGGUUUUCAUAAUUCUUCACUUUUUAUAAAUCAAAUGCUGUAAGAUACACAAUGUUGUAAUGUACUUUGUUGCGUGUGUUUUUGUUUUCUACUUUUAUAAAUAAAAUGUUUAAACAAUG
This is a non-coding RNA of Salmo salar (Atlantic salmon), 1395 nucleotides long. NCBI's taxonomy places the organism in Eukaryota, Metazoa, Chordata, Actinopteri, Salmoniformes, Salmonidae. The record is from RefSeq and is a predicted model, not a curated record.